This is a long non-coding RNA of Beta vulgaris subsp. vulgaris (sugar beet), 1264 nucleotides long. RefSeq lists it as uncharacterized. The transcript has 3 exons. Lineage: Eukaryota; Viridiplantae; Streptophyta; Magnoliopsida; Caryophyllales; Amaranthaceae. The record is from RefSeq and is a predicted model, not a curated record.
AAUAAUAAUAAAAAAACUUUCCAAAACAUCCUUUAUAAUUUUAUGGGAACUACAAACACAUCACACAUGUCAAUUUCCCAAAAUUUGCACACCAAUUUAUGCAGCUUUCCAUUGAGUUUUGUUUUGCCUCCUAAACCAGUAAACCCUCUACUCUCGAGCAUUGAAAAGACCAAAAUGUGCCCCUAAAUUAUCUCUAAAAAUUGAUCUCAUUACUCCAUUAUCAUAAGUACUACAGUAGUACAGUACUUCAUUUUCAAGGGUAUUAAUUUAUAUUGGUUCAUUUGCCCCCAAUUAUUCAUGGUGUCUUUCAUUUGUGCUUGAGUCUUGACACCUAUCAUUUGAUUACUAGUUUGCAACUGGUUGGGGGAAAGAGGAAUCCUUUGGGCCAUCAGGACUGAGAUGUGGUGGAAAAUCAUAUUUCACCUGUCCUGUUGAUAGCAAGACUAAAAUCAUACUUCUUGAAUGGCAGGGUUAGUACAAUGUGCUAUAUAAUCGCAUUAUGCAUUUAACUAUACGGUAUGUCAGUAUGUGACGAACUUACUCUUUAACAUAUUACUGAAAUUUGAUAUACCCAAUGUGAAGGGUGAUAGGUACCGUCUCACUUAAUUUAGAAUUUGGCAAUAGAAUUGAUCAGGGGUUGCGCGAACGCAGAUAGUGGUGUCAAUUCAGUUAACCAGUUCAGUUCUGGUUCAAACCAAACAGUUCAGUUGACUUCAGUUCAGUUAAUUCAGUUUAUUUUUCCAAACUUAAUUGAUUCAGUUUAAACUUUUUCGGUUUCAGUUUCAAUCCAUACAGUUAAUUCAAUUUUCAGUUAAGUUCAGUUCAGUUUACAGUUAUCUUUUGGUUUGACCCAUGCAGUUUUGGUUUAAACAGUUGGCUUUUUACGGAUUACUAUCAGUUAAACAGUUAUUUUCGGUUCGGAUUCAGUUAUUUUCAUUUUCUUAAGGAAACCCGCAUUGACUCGGGUGAAAGUUGAUAUCGGUUAUGACGUGCGUUUCGGGUCUCGCUUCGGGUCGAUCCGUUAUUCAUUGCAGGAAAUUCCGAUUUAGUUGGACUUUUAUCACAUAGGUUAAAGUGUUGUUAAACUUGUCGAACACAACAAUGGCACCAAGAGACGUAUAUAUAUUUGUCUGCGAAAUGGCAUUUUGAAGUUGCCAUAUUUUCUGUAAAAUUAUUUUAUUAAAGGUUCAAUAUUUGGCUGAUAUUGAAAAAUUCAAUUUCAAAUUCUUCAUUAUUCUAUAGUUUUCCAAUGUGUAACUAUCAA